Molecule: ribosomal RNA, 363 nt
Filed under: uncultured Paracoccaceae bacterium
Lineage: Bacteria; Pseudomonadati; Pseudomonadota; Alphaproteobacteria; Rhodobacterales; Paracoccaceae
Description: bacterial SSU rRNA
Rfam family: Bacterial small subunit ribosomal RNA
Source: RNAcentral
AACGAACGCUGGCGGCAGGCCUAACACAUGCAAGUCGGGCGGGCGUCCUUUCGGGGGCGUCAGCGGCGGACGGGUUAGUAACGCGUGGGAACGUGCCCUUCGCUACGGAACAGUCCCGGGAAACCGGGGUUAAUGCCGUAUGCGCCCUUUGGGGGAAAGGUUUAUCCGGCGAGGGAUCGGCCCGCGUCCGAUUAGGUAGUUGGUGGGGUAACGGCCCACCAAGCCGACGAUCGGUAGCUGGUUUGAGAGGAUGAUCAGCAACACUGGGACUGAGACACGGCCCAGACUCCUACGGGAGGCAGCAGUGGGGAAUCUUGGACAAUGGGGGCAACCCUGAUCCAGCCAUGCCGCGUGGACGAUGAA